UUUUGGACAAUGGGCGCAAGCCUGAUCCAGCAAUGCCGCGUGCAGGAAGAAGGCCUUCGGGUUGUAAACUGCUUUUGUACGGAACGAAACGGUCCUGGUUAAUACCUGGGGCUAAUGACGGUACCGUAAGAAUAAGCACCGGCUAACUACGUGCCAGCAGCCGCGGUAAUACGUAGGGUGCAAGCGUUAAUCGGAAUUACUGGGCGUAAAGCGUGCGCAGGCGGUUUUGUAAGACAGGCGUGAAAUCCCCGGGCUUAACCUGGGAAUGGCGCUUGUGACUGCAAAGCUGGAGUGCGGCAGAGGGGGAUGGAAUUCCGCGUGUAGCAGUGAAAUGCGUAGAUAUGCGGAGGAACACCGAUGGCGAAGGCAAUCCCCUGGCCUGCACUACGCUCGGCACGAAG
Molecule: ribosomal RNA, 401 nt
Filed under: uncultured bacterium
Lineage: Bacteria
Description: bacterial SSU rRNA
Rfam family: Bacterial small subunit ribosomal RNA
Source: RNAcentral